Molecule: long non-coding RNA, 1760 nt
Organism: Cucumis melo (muskmelon)
Lineage: Eukaryota; Viridiplantae; Streptophyta; Magnoliopsida; Cucurbitales; Cucurbitaceae
Exons: 3
Source: RefSeq, a predicted model, not a curated record
UUUCUCUUCUCUAGCGCCACUACCCUCCUUUCUCUUGUCUUUCGUUCAAAAAUUUGCCCAUCGUCGCAUUUCCCAAACCAAGCCAUCACGUCCAGUCUCCCUUUGUCUCCAUCUGUGAAGCUCCGUCUUGCAUCUUGUCUCUGCCUCCAUCUCUGUCCCUGUCCAUGAAGACCCAUUCGCAUUCAGGUUCACUGUUACCAUCUGCCCCUUCUUCGUCGCACGUUGUCACAUGAGGGUGUCGUUCUUCUCACCUUCGAAGAAGCCUCUAUCCAUGUGCAGUCGUUUCCUAUCAUUACGCUUUUAUAUUUUUGUCCUUGUUCGCACCAGAAACAAGCUCAAGCUUCCAACUUCAGUCCUACGCUGCAUGCACCGUUUGCCCCUUGCUAAGCCGUCCAAGCCGAUUUCCUUAUUACCCGAGCCACGUAAGCCGAUUUCUUCCAAGCCGAGCCGCGAGUGAAGUUUUAUUGAGUCGCUCUAUGAUCCUUGAAGGUGUUGGAGUUUGACCUCAUGGAUUAAACAACAAGUUUUGCUAGAAUUCGACUCCCUACUACUUGAUUAAGUUUGUGGACAUCGCAUUAGAGUGAUCUAAAUGUGGGUUUCGCCUAUGGAAGUAUUUAAUUUUUUGUUUGAUUAUCUUUAGGUUGGUUCAUUUGGAUUUUGUUAAAACAAGGAAUUUUAGCUACGUUCGAGGUAAGGGAUUUCUAUAACUGGACUCAUACUGAAGUUGGAAUGUAUUAACUGAGAUGGUAGUUGAUAUAUAUUGACUGAGAUAGAUUGACUGUCAUGUGUAAUCAGAGAGUAUUGAUGUUCUACACUAUUGACUAAACUGAGAUGGUUGAUUAUUAUGCAUAGUUUAAAUUUAUUGACUAGUUGUACUGAUGUAAUAUGUUUUAACGUGUCUUGUUUUGACUUGUUAUGUGUAGAGAAUGAUUUGCUAGUAUUGAAUGUGUUUUGAUGUGACUCUCAUGGACUGAGGGGUAACUAUUAGCUUUAUCUAUGGGGUAGUGUACCUUGCAGGCAUGGUCUCCUAUGGGAUCACUACAUGUUGUGCAUCCUUCGGAAUCACUAGACUGAUACAUGCAUCCUACGAAAUCACUAAACUGAUAUGUGUAUCCUACGGGAUCACUAGACUAAUAUGUAUAUGCUACGGGAUCACUAGACUAAUACGUGCAUUCUAUAGGAUCACUAGACUGAUAUGUGCAUCCUACGGGAUCACUAUACCUAUACGUGUAUCCUACGAGAUCAAAGGACCAAUACGUGUAUCCUAUGGGAUCAUAAGAUUGAUACGUGUAUUCUACGGGAUCACAAGACCGAUACAUGUAUCUUACGGGAUCCUAAGAUUGUUAUGUUGAAUGGUACCCCCUAAUAGAAAGCUAACAGUUAUUACCCAUGAUGGAACUAGUAGUGGGUCCCUUACUGGGUAUAUUUUAUACUCACCCUUUUAUGUUUAACUUUUUCAGGCAAAGGUAAUGUGAGAGGUAGACCGACAAGGGUUAAGAAGGACUCGUGAUCGCCAUAUGGAUGUUUAACAUCUUGCGAAGAGGCGAUAUGCGUUAAGUGUCUAGGCGGCCACACUUCCACAUGGAUGCAUGAAAUGACCUUGGGGCGAGGCAUGACAUGUGGACCAUAUAUGAUGUUGCUUUCAAUUUACGCGUGAUAUGUUUGCGAGUUGCAUAAUGAUUGCAUGAAACAAUGAGUUAUAUUAGUUUACUAACCAAACUAGAUGAGUAUGCCCUAAUCAACUUAGAAUUGAGCCAUUA